UACGUAGGGGGCAAGCGUUGUCCGGAAUCAUUGGGCGUAAAGAGCGCGUAGGCGGUCCGGUAAGUCCGCUGUGAAAGUCAAGGGCUCAACCCUUGAAUGCCGGUGGAUACUGUCGGGCUAGAGUCCGGAAGAGGCGAGUGGAAUUCCUGGUGUAGCGGUGAAAUGCGCAGAUAUCAGGAAGAACACCCGUGGCUAAGGCGGCUCUCUAGUACGGUACUGACGCUGAGACGCGAAAGCGUGGGGAGCGAACAGG
RNAcentral lists this ribosomal RNA (253 nucleotides) under uncultured bacterium. RNAcentral's name for it is "partial 16S ribosomal RNA". It matches the Rfam family "Bacterial small subunit ribosomal RNA", at positions 524 to 776 of the family's 1533-position model. The record is from RNAcentral.